CGGUGAAGAAUGUGAAAUACCUGGGUUUUAUUUACACUCCCACACUUGACUUUCAUUCAUACAUUGAACCGUCUUCUUAUAGGGCUCUCAAAGUACUAGGAUUUUUCAAGCGAAUAGCCUCUGAAUUUAAACUUGAGUAUUCUUUAAAAUCUCUUUAUUGUUCCUUAGUUCGAUCUAUUAUUGAAUAUGGAUCCGUGUUAUGGAAUCCUCACACAUCGUCAAGCUCCUUACAAUUAGAACGCGUCGAGAGACACUUCUUAUUAUUCGCUUCCUAUGUUC
This is a non-coding RNA of Cinara cedri, 279 nucleotides long. The record is from the annotation of a GenBank genome assembly. Lineage: Eukaryota; Metazoa; Arthropoda; Insecta; Hemiptera; Aphididae.